GGAGGGAUGGCAGAGCGGCCGAUUGCGGCGGUCUUGAAAACCGUUGUGGGUUCGCCCACCGGGGGUUCGAAUCCCUCUCCCUCCG
RNAcentral lists this transfer RNA (85 nucleotides) under Anaerolineae bacterium. RNAcentral describes it as "tRNA-Ser". It matches the Rfam family "tRNA". Rfam says of the family: Transfer RNA (tRNA) molecules are approximately 80 nucleotides in length. Their secondary structure includes four short double-helical elements and three loops (D, anti-codon, and T loops). The record is from RNAcentral. Lineage: Bacteria; Bacillati; Chloroflexota; Anaerolineae.